RNAcentral lists this transfer RNA (68 nucleotides) under Monodiamesa sp. 2 CZ-2021a. RNAcentral's name for it is "tRNA-Ser". The record is from RNAcentral. Lineage: Eukaryota; Metazoa; Arthropoda; Insecta; Diptera; Chironomidae.
AGUUAAUGAGCUUGAAUAAGCAUAUGUUUUGAAAACAUAAGAUAGAAUAUUUAUCAUUCUAUUGACUU